UGGGGAAUUUUGGACAAUGGGCGCAAGCCUGAUCCAGCCAUGCCGCGUGCGGGAAGAAGGCCUUCGGGUUGUAAACCGCUUUUGUCAGGGAAGAAAUCUUCUGAGUUAAUACCUCGGGAGGAUGACGGUACCUGAAGAAUAAGCACCGGCUAACUACGUGCCAGCAGCCGCGGUAAUACGUAGGGUGCAAGCGUUAAUCGGAAUUACUGGGCGUAAAGCGUGCGCAGGCGGUUUUGUAAGACAGAGGUGAAAUCCCCGGGCUCAACCUGGGAACUGCCUUUGUGACUGCAAGGCUUGAGUGCGGCAGAGGGGGAUGGAAUUCCGCGUGUAGCAGUGAAAUGCGUAGAUAUGCGGAGGGACACCGAUGGCGAAGGCAAUCCCCUGGGCCUGCACUGACGCUCAUGCACGAAAGCGUGGGGAGCAAACAGGAUUAGAUACCCUGGUAGUCCACGCCCUAAACGAUGUCAACUGGUUGUUGGGAAGGUUCCUUCUCAGUAACGUAGCUAACGCGUGAAGUUGACCGCCUGGGGAGUACGGCCGCAAGGUU
RNAcentral lists this ribosomal RNA (547 nucleotides) under uncultured bacterium. RNAcentral's name for it is "partial 16S ribosomal RNA". It matches the Rfam family "Bacterial small subunit ribosomal RNA", at positions 355 to 895 of the family's 1533-position model. The record is from RNAcentral.